Molecule: unclassified non-coding RNA, 4569 nt
Filed under: Mizuhopecten yessoensis (Yesso scallop)
Lineage: Eukaryota; Metazoa; Mollusca; Bivalvia; Pectinida; Pectinidae
Description: uncharacterized LOC110440969, transcript variant X2
Source: RNAcentral
AUAACUAAUUUGUGAAAACUGGUUUACGUCGCAUAUGUUAUGGAAUAAUAUUUACCCGAAAGAACUUACAACAUCAUACAGCAAUGCUGUAAUUAACCAGUGAAUGUUUGACCACUUGACCACUGUAACCAUAAGUCUGACGUGUCACGGCUGUAGUGGUCAAGCGGGACUAUGAAGUGGUAUCUUAAGCAGAAGACCUUGGGCUGGAUAAUAUUGUUUGUUUGGGUGAUGCUCUGGGGAUAUUUCAAUCGCUCGUCAUGUGUCAAAGAAAACAAGGAACCAGUAGCACACGCUUCAGAUCUGGGUACAAUGACCCCGGGACCAGUGUUACAUAUCAACAUUUUAGAUAUAAUAAGAUCGACACUCUUGAAAGCGCCAGAGAUAACGCGCCUUCCGCCAUCACCGACAGCGCCAGAGAUAACACGCCUUCCGCCAUCACCAACAGCGCCAGAAAUAACACGCCUUCCGCCAUCACCAACAGCGCCAGAGAUAACACGCCUUCCGCCAUCACCAACAGCGCCAGAAAUAACACGCCUUCCGCCAUCACCAACAGCGCCAGAGAUAACACGCCUUCCGCCAUCACCAACAGCGCCAGAAAUAACACGCCUUCCGCCAUCACCAACAGCGCCAGAGAUAACACGCCUUCCGCCAUCAUCAACAGCGCCAGAAAUAACACGCCUUCCGCCAUCACCAACAGCGUCAGAUAUUCAGCGUCCUCUACCAUCUCCAACAGAACAAGCGUCAACUGAGGUUGAAGUCACGGGGAGAUUGAAAGUCGAUCGUAGAAAAGCUCUUCUGUACGGAAAGGCAAGAAAAACUAAAAGUUCCUUGACUAUCGGGAUCCCUACAUUACGUCGACAGGGGGUGGAUUAUCUUGAGAAGACACUCUUUUCUCUAAUCACCCACUCAGAUGCGUCCCAGCAAAUGUCGAUAGUGGUGGUCAUUUUUAUGGUGGACAUGGACAAGACCUGGACCAGGAUAAGGAGCAAACAGCUAGCCGUCAAAUACCCCAAGCUCAUACAAAGCGGAUUCCUCCAGAUAGUGCAUCCACAUGAUCAAAGUAUAUAUCCAGAUUUUGGAAAGCUCAAAAGAACGUAUAAUGACUCAUUAGAGAGGGUGGCGUGGCGGUCGAAACAGAAUAUUGAUUAUGCUUACCUUUUCGCGUAUAGUCAAAACAUAUCAAAAUAUUAUCUCCAACUAGAGGAUGAUGUCGUUGCAGCUAGCGACUAUUAUAGAGACAUUGUAAGUUUUAUUGAUUCCAAUUCCAACAGAUUCUGGUAUUACCUUGAGGUUUCACAUAUAGGAUUUAUUGGAAAACUGAUACGAUCAUCAGACCUUGGUGGUCUGUCAGAAUAUAUUAUGAUGUUUUUUGAUGAACAGCCAGGUGACCUUUUGCUUAUUGCAUUAGGUAAAAUCAAAACACAGUCAAAGAGGAUAGUUGCAACUAGAUCUUUGUUCCAACAUAUAGGUACCGUGUCAAGUUUGCCGGGAAAAGUACAAAAAAUAAUUGACAAACAUUUCAAAGAUUCGUUUGACAAACGUUUCAAAAAUGCAUUUGGUUUAAAAGACUCGUUUAGUUUGAAACAAUAUCCCCGAAAGAGAUUCUAUCAUUCAAAUCCCUCCGCAAAAAUAGAUACAAACAUUGAAGUGUAUUCAAAUUAUAACCCUGUGUAUGCGUAUGACUUAUCAAAUAGGUUUUUCUGGGGAGUCAGUCCUAGACGGGGAGGAAACUUUCGAGUCAUAUUCCAUGUUCCUCAAAACAUAAGCCGUAUAUUCAUAGAUUCUGGUAGCACUGAAAUAGACACAGACAUACUGUAUGAUGGUAAACUGUUAGUAUCAUCCAGCAUAUCAAAUGAGGAGCGAACACCAUGUCAAAAUUUCACAACCAUCUCUAAAUUUGAGAAUGGCGACAUCGACACCAGCAAAUCGAAUGUUUCACUUCCGGUAAAUAUAGACUGUAUUGUUAUUGCAGUGAUGGCCAAUCAAACUGAUUGGCUCGUUAUUAGAGAGAUCGCCAUAUUCCUUCCGGGCGAACUUGAAAUUACGGAACCGAGUAAUCAAUUAUCCCAAAAACCUAGCAAGGAACGUGUAAUGAUAGGAAAGGAUGCACUGGAGAAAAGUGAUUCACUUAAACCACAUCUCGCUCACAGAAACUCAAUAGAACGACAUACCGUAUUUAACAUUCGUGGUCAUAACAAGCAGUAUGAACCAGGACAUACCGACGACCACGUAUCAUAUCCGCCGUACAGAGGUGUUACGGUGAAUCUUGGUGAUAAAGAUGUCAAACAUUUUGAAAGAGAAAGCGAUGUGAAGCAAGCGUCUGACAUGAAUCAGACAACAACGUCUCGUGUACAACAUCCAUUUGAACAACAUUACGACAACGUCACACAACGGGAUGAUGCAAUGAACAUAUACAAUUCAACUGGGGUGAAUAAGUAUUCUAGGAAAAGAUUUUAUCACGUCAAUCCUCCCGCAACAAUACACACACAAAUUGAAACUUUCUCUGGUUAUAAACCUGUAUAUGCAUAUGAUUUGUCGGACACAUUUUUCUGGGGGUCCUAUCCGAAACAAGGCGAUUACUUCUUGAUAUUACUGAAGUCUCCACAAAACAUCAGCCGUAUAUUCAUCGACUCUGGUUACGAAGGAAAGGAAUUUGACAUACUACAAAACGCUAGACUGUUGAUAUCAACAAGAACACCUGGUAAUGAAGAAAGAACAUGUCAAAAGCUCGGAGCUGUAGCACUCUUUGUAAAUGGGGACGUCGACACAAAGAUUUCAAACAUUUCACUUCCGGUAAAUAUAGAUUGUAUUGCAAUAGAGCUUACGGCAAAUCAAAACGACAGGCUCAUCAUCCGAGAAAUCGCUGUGUUCCUAUCAGGAGAAUUAGAGAGUGCGAAGCUGGACAAAAUUACAAGCUCCCCACAAAUGCGAGAGGAACGUAAGGUGCUUGAACAGACAUUCAAAAGAAAUGAAACAUUAAAACGACUAUUUGUUUCCAAACAGUCACUUGGGUCGGUUCAAACAAAGAACCCCGAUAACAUUAAAUCACAAUGGCAAGAUCUGCAAGGCCAUACCGACAGCCGUCGUUCGAAUUUAAAUCAACCGAAAGAAAGUUUAGACCGGCGACCGUAUGUAUCUCCAAACCACAGGCAAAUAAAUGUGCAUGAUGCAAAUGAUGCGAAAAAUCGCUCAGAAACGUUGUUUAAAAACGGAUAUGCCAUAGACCGAAAUAAACUUUUAAAAAAUGGACGUCAUCAUCGUUAUCAACCGACUUCCGACAGCAGAUUUAACAACAGUGAAGACAAACGUGUGCAACAAAGGACCUAUUCGCUACUACAACAAAACAACACUGAAUUUUCACACAAUAUAGAAACAAAUAGAAAAAAACUUUAUGUGAAUCCGUGGCACACCAGUGAUGCCAAAGUUGUUGAAAAAGUAACUACAGACAAGAAAACAAGCAAUGUUAAGCGGGUACCCGAGGUAACUAAGAUAGUCAACUAUACAUUGGAACAUCGUAAAGAACAAAAGUACAACGACAGGCAAACGGAUAAUAUUGCAAACAAAACGGAAAAGAAUGGAGUGAAUCAGUAUUCUCGGAAAAGAUUUUAUCACGUCAAUCCUCCCGCAACAAUACACACACAAAUUGAAACUUUCUCUGGUUAUAAACCUAUAUAUGCAUAUGAUUUGUCGGACGCAUUUUUCUGGGGGUCCUAUCCGAAACAAGGCGAUUACUUCUUGAUAUUACUGAAGUCUCCACAAAACAUCAGCCGUAUAUUCAUCGACUCUGGUUACGAAGAAAAGGAAUCGGACAUACUUCAAAACGCUAGACUGUUGAUAUCAACAAGAACACCUGGUAAUGAAGAAAGAGCAUGUCAAAAGCUCGGAGCUGUAGCACUCUUUGUAAAUGGGGACGUCGACACAGAGAUUUCAAACAUUUCACUUCCGGUAAAUAUAGAUUGUAUUGCGAUUGAGAUUACGGCAAAUCAAAACGACAGGCUCAUCAUCCGCGAGAUUGCGGUAUUCCUAUCCGGAUAAUUGAAGAACAAUGAACUGGACAAAAAUGUCAUCUCCUGAAAGAUUCAAGAGGUUAGUAAGACACGUUAAAACAUAUACUGAUAGAAGUGAUAAUGUCCUUAAACCAACGUUGCAUCUCCGCAGUAUUUUCAGUAGGGCAGAUGGAAAAAUCAAAGGACCUCAGCAUUUCCAAGAUAUACAGACAGGCACAACUUGAGUCCAGUCCAACUGAAGAAGCAAUAAGGUCGACACCACAAGUGCCUCUUAAUCGCAAGAAGAUAAAUAAAAAACAAGUAUAUGCUACCAGGAUUGAACUCGGGGCCUGCUCUACGUUUGGUUACUUAGUCAUUUGGUUAUGACAUGGAACUUGUUGAGAUCACAACCUCUAAAUGAGAUACGUAAAUGCUGGGUUUGAAGAGAUGAACACACGCUAUCAGAAAAAACUUAUCAUCCAACAAGCGAACGAAAGGUUCAAGUAAUUUCUCACAAAGAGUUUACUUGAAAAUUUUGAGAGUAGAGUCAAAUGGUUUCAAUACCACCCCACACCACCCUAGA